AUACACAGGGCCGGUGCAAAGAAUUUUGGGUACAUAGGCGAAGAUGCAUUUUUCCGCCACCCCAAAAACAUCUUCACCCAUGUGCCUCUUAAACUCCCUUUUGUGUUUCUUAUCCCGUCUUUUAAAUAUCUGACUCCCUUUAGUGUAUUUUAUCUCCUAUUUUUGCCUCUGUGUGUCUCCUAUCUCUCCUCUUUGUAGGACUCUUACAUCCUCCCACAUUUUGUGUCUUACUCCUCCCAGCCCCUUUGUGUGACUCCUUUUCUCCCAGCCCCUUUGUGUCUUUUAUUCUUCCCAGCUCCUUUGUGUAUGUCUCUUUCCUUCUCAAGCCCCGCUGUAUGUUUCUUUCACAUCCAGCCCCUCUCCCCGUCCCUUAAUGGACCCCUCCCUUCUCUGACCCUUACUGUUCCUCUCCCCUCUCUCCUCCUUUACCUGUUCCUCAGUGUUCCUUUCCCUUCCCCCUACUUUCCCUGUCCCUUAGUGUUCCUCUCCCCUCCCUCCUCUGUUCCCUGUCGCUUAGUGUUCCUCUCCCUCCC
RNAcentral lists this long non-coding RNA (533 nucleotides) under Pelobates cultripes (western spadefoot toad). The record is from RNAcentral. Lineage: Eukaryota; Metazoa; Chordata; Amphibia; Anura; Pelobatidae.